This 254-nucleotide ribosomal RNA is filed under the name uncultured bacterium. Its description in RNAcentral is "partial 16S ribosomal RNA". It matches the Rfam family "Bacterial small subunit ribosomal RNA", at positions 524 to 776 of the family's 1533-position model. The record is from RNAcentral.
UACGUAGGGACCGAGCGUUGUCCGGAUUCAUUGGGCGUAAAGAGCUCGUAGGCGGCUGUUCAAGUCGAACGUGAAAACUCGGAGCUCAACUCCGAGCCUGCGUUCGAUACUGGACGGCUAGAGUCUGGUAGGGGGGAUCUGGAAUUCCUGGUGUAGCGGUGGAAUGCGCAGAUAUCAGGAGGAACACCGGUGGCGAAGGCGGGUCUCUGGGCCGAUACUGACGCUGAGGAGCGAAAGCGUGGGGAGCGAACAGG